This 216-nucleotide ribosomal RNA is filed under the name Glomeromycotina sp. RNAcentral describes it as "partial small subunit ribosomal RNA". The stretch from base 40 to 216 matches the Rfam family "Eukaryotic small subunit ribosomal RNA", at positions 686 to 864 of the family's 1831-position model. The record is from RNAcentral. Lineage: Eukaryota; Fungi; Glomeromycota.
GGGUCAGUAGGUUGGUCGUGCCACCGGUACGUACUGGUCUCACUGAUUCCUCCUUCCUGAAGAACCAUAAUGCCAUUAAUUUGGUGUUGCGGGGAAACAGGACUGUUACUUUGAAAAAAUUAGAGUGUUUAAAGCAAGCUAACGCUUAAAUACAUUAGCAUGGAAUAAUGAAAUAGGACGAUCGAUCCUAUUUUGUUGGUUUCUAGGAUUGACGUA